This 2672-nucleotide long non-coding RNA is filed under the name Varroa destructor (honeybee mite). RNAcentral describes it as "uncharacterized LOC111246213, transcript variant X1". The record is from RNAcentral. Lineage: Eukaryota; Metazoa; Arthropoda; Arachnida; Mesostigmata; Varroidae.
GUAUACGUGCGUAAUCUGUAGCUGCACUUCGAAUAGCGGAGGGAAAGAGAGACACAUGGAGAAAGAAAGAACGUAGUUUAUAAGAGCGGGUUGAAGCUCAAAUCCUUAGUGCCAAUCCCAGUUUCAGUUUUUGGAUACCGCAAAAAAAGGGUUAUCUUUUCGGUAGAGAGAAAUUGAGCUAACCAGGCUGAGUGCCUUAAAGGCAUCGCAUACUAACACUAAAUACAACGCACAUUGGCAUCGAUUUUUCGAAGGGAGAUGUACAGUGGCCCGUGAAAACAGCGGCAAUAACUGCUAGCCCAACUCGAUAAAGUAUAACGAGGGCUCGUAACGACACGGAGUGAGAUCAUUCGCAAAUGUGACAGUAAUACCUGAGUCGGCUUCAGUAACAGCUUUGAUAGGCGUCAAGUAUUGCGCCUUGAUGUUUGACGACCAGAAGGUGCUCAGUGGAUCUUCGACAUUUCUACUUCCUCAUUAUUUUUCCUUUUCAACAAGCACAAUAUAAGGCAGUACAGUGACGGUCACUCAAACCCCAUAGGCCGUGUAGAAUGUUUUGCGAUAGGAAAAAAGAAAGCUAGGUUUAGUGAGUGCACUGCACAGCACUUAAUUAAGACUGGAUGCGUUGGCAAUGCGAGGUUCAUGAGUCUAAAGAGGUGGCAGCAUUUAUUCUCUGUUUAUAAAACUAUUUUGCUCUUUUACGGAUAGAAUCCUUUCGUCUACAUGGCGAAAGCUAUGAUUAUACUUAAAGGAAACGUCUGAUUGAAACGCUCUUACGCUUCAGACCCGCUAUUAAUCAAUGUCGCUUGUAGGCCCGUCGUGCUGAGUAGGUUCAUUCCUCGCGUAAGUUAUUUUAGCUUAUUCGGGUUGUGCCUUUUGAACUAGUUACAAUUCGAAAGCAGUUGAUUGAGUCAAUCGUCUGUAAAUACUCUAUUAUCCUAAUCAGCUUGACCGAUAUUGGAAUACGCGCGCCAACCAAUUGCCGAAGCGACUGGCGGCUUCGAAGUUCUGCGGCAGAACUUACUUUUUUCCGCUGGUCUAUCCUUCUGUCUCUCGCUCUUUACCUAUUUGUAUUACUGCUAUUAGUAGCUACUCCUGCAGACGGACGAAAUCAACCGAGUAAAACCAACGAGCGUAAACACGUCAAGCAACAUCUAUUGCAUGAAAUUGAAAAGCACAGCGUGACUGUCCGGUCACGAAAAAUCGUAUGCGAUAAAACAGGUCCAAAACGAGGACAAAGAGAAGCAGUGGAAGUGCUGCUAUGCCAUGAGAUGAGCUAGUGCCAGAAACGCACCGCAAACAAUUAUGAACAAUGACUUCUAUGACAACUACUGUGAUUAUUACAAAUACUACAAAUACACCCGGGACGACGCCGUAGCUCCUUCUGACUACAGUUGACGCUUGCUGUCAUAUACUCCUGUUGAUCGUACGACGAUAACAGCUGCAGCAGCAGCAGCAGCAGCAGCAGCAACGAUCAUAGCCAACCAAACAACAACACGUCGCCGCGAUAUUUUAUCAACUCUAGCCUGUCGUUACUGUUGCAAUUAGAAUCAUAUACAAUAGGAACAGGUGCUUCCCUACGGCAAUGGAGCAGUGGCUGCACAUCGAAAUUUCCCGCUAUAAUUAUUAUAGUUGGAGUUAAAUUCCAACCGUGAUGCUACUAUCCCUGAAGCAAGCUGGCAAUUAACCGACUAUCGGAAAGUCUCCGUUUCUACAGUUGUCAGUAGGCCCAGCUGCUAAAGAACAACGAAGUAUCAACUGGCCAUGUCCCUUCUUCAGCUAGCGCGAAUCAGUGAGAACACAACAGUUGAGAACGGACGUGAUUGCGGAAUAGUAAAUAUGUCUUUCAUCCAUAAAGUGCAUGCGGAAAAGUGCGUCGCGCGUUAAAAAAGAAAGAAAUUACGACUAGAUCAUAGUGUUAUUGAUCGGAGUGCGUGCUGAAGCAACUGAGGGAUUGUGCGCACGCAUCAGUGCCCCGAAACCGCUGUCUUAACUCACCUUCAGUGAAGUGGAGCAUGCAUUUGAGUUGACUUCAAUGCCCAUUCGUAGCAGCCAGAUCGAUCAAUCGGCUAAGCAGUGAACGAAUGUGUCAUAUCCGAUACGCACAGAACGUUCGAGGUAAAUCGGGAAACAUUUUUACGGCUUGUCGUAGUGGCGUUCGUCCAUCGGCUAUGCGUAAUGAAGAGGGCAAAUUGUUUCCAGGACAGGAUAACAAGUUCAUCAUGACGGACACAAUGCCCCGACAGCUGCCCAGUAUCGGGGAACAACCGCUGGCGUCGUCCCAUCGUUUCUGCGUUGCUCCUCGUGGUAUCGCAGUAAAUCCUAUGACCAACGUUUUGUCUCCGAGGGUCUACGCCGCUGUUCUAAAGCCGCUCCGACGAAGAACUGUAUCCUGUCAUUCCAUUUCAUCAUCACACUGCUUCCUUGGGGCCUAUUUCACAGUCUCCAGUGGCCAGAGCUUAGACCUUAAAUCUGUUCCCGUUAUCUUUUCUUGCGCGAACAGAAAAACGCUUUUAAGCCGUGAAUGAACGUUGUAUGUAUGCGCACAGCAAGAUGUAGUCGUUUUUUCUGUGCCUUAUGUCCUUUCCUUCAAAGUGAACAGUAACCAUCGUGUGCUCAGUAGAGUUUCUUUCAUGUCUACCUGUCCCAUGCACAUAGUGCGAGCACAAAAUGAA